UCCGGUAUGGUGUAGCGGCUAACAUUACCGCUUUUCAGCGCAGGAUAAACGCGAAGUUUAACUAAUAACACUGACGCGGUAGCCCGGGGUUCGAUUCCCCGUACCGGAA
Non-coding RNA from Mycena maculata, 109 nucleotides. Lineage: Eukaryota; Fungi; Basidiomycota; Agaricomycetes; Agaricales; Mycenaceae. The record is from the annotation of a GenBank genome assembly.